AGUGAACGCUGGCGGUAGGCCUAACACAUGCAAGUCGAACGGCAGCACAGUAAGAGCUUGCUCUUACGGGUGGCGAGUGGCGGACGGGUCAGGAAUACAUCGGAAUCUACUUUUUCGUGGGGGAUAACGUAGGGAAACUUACGCUAAUACCGCAUACGACCUACGGGUGAAAGCAGGGGAUCUUCGGACCUUGCGCGGUUGAAUGAGCCGAUGUCGGAUUAGCUAGUUGGCGGGGUAAAGGCCCACCAAGGCGACGAUCCGUAGCUGGUCUGAGAGGAUGAUCACCCACACUGGAACUGAGACACGGUCCAGACUCCUACGGGAGGCAGCAGUGGGGAAUAUUGGACAAUGGGCGCAAGCAUGAUCCAGCCAUACCGCGUGGGUGAAGAAGGCCUUCGGGUUGUAAAGCCCUUUUGUUGGGAAAGAAAAGCAGCAGGUUAAUACCACGCUGUUCUGACGGUACCCAAAGAAUAAGCACCGGCUAACUUCGUG
RNAcentral lists this ribosomal RNA (492 nucleotides) under uncultured bacterium. Its description in RNAcentral is "partial 16S ribosomal RNA". It matches the Rfam family "Bacterial small subunit ribosomal RNA", at positions 29 to 507 of the family's 1533-position model. The record is from RNAcentral.